AGAGUUUGAUCCUGGCUGAGAUUGAACGCUGGCGGCAAGCCUAACACAUGCAAGUCGAACGGUAACAAAAAAGAGUUUACUCUUUAGGUGACGAGUGGCGGACGGGUGAGUAAUAUCUGGGGAUCUGCCCGAUGGAGGGGGAUAACCAUUGGAAACGAUGGCUAAUACCGCAUAAAGUUGUAAAACCAAAGUGGGGGACCUUAGGGCCUCAUACCAUCGGAUGAACCCAGACGGGAUUAGCUAGUAGGUGUGGUAAUGGCUCACCUAGGCAACGAUCCCUAGCUGGUCUGAGAGGAUGGCCAGCCACACUGGAACUGAGAUACGGUCCAGACUCCUACGGGAGGCAGCAGUGGGGAAUAUUGCACAAUGGGCGAAAGCCUGAUGCAGCUAUGCCGCGUGUAUGAAGAAGGCCUUAGGGUUGUAAAGUACUUUCAGUAGGGAAGAAGGCAAUAUAGCUAAAAUCUAUAUUGAUUGACGUUACCUACAAAAGAAGCACCGGCUAACUCCGUGCCAGCAGCCGCGGUAAUACGGAGGGUGCGAGCGUUAAUCGGAAUUACUGGGCGUAAAGAGCACGUAGGUGGUUUAUUAAGUCAGAUGUGAAAUCCCUGGGCUUAACCUAGGAACUGCAUUUGAAACUGAUAAACUUGAGUUUCAUAGAGGAGAGCAGAAUUCCAGGUGUAGCGGUGAAAUGCGUAGAGAUCUGGAGGAAUAUCAGUGGCGAAGGCGGCUCUCUGGAUGAAAACUGACACUCA
RNAcentral lists this ribosomal RNA (752 nucleotides) under uncultured Gammaproteobacteria bacterium. RNAcentral describes it as "bacterial SSU rRNA". It matches the Rfam family "Bacterial small subunit ribosomal RNA", at positions 8 to 749 of the family's 1533-position model. Lineage: Bacteria; Pseudomonadati; Pseudomonadota; Gammaproteobacteria. The record is from RNAcentral.